CCUACGGGCGGCAGCAGUGAGGAAUAUUGGUCAAUGGACGAGAGUCUGAACCAGCCAAGUAGCGUGAAGGAUGACUGCCCUAUGGGUUGUAAACUUCUUUUAUAUGGGAAUAAAAUGUUCCACGUGUGGGAUUUUGUAUGUACCAUAUGAAUAAGGAUCGGCUAACUCCGUGCCAGCAGCCGCGGUAAUACGGAGGAUCCGAGCGUUAUCCGGAUUUAUUGGGUUUAAAGGGAGCGUAGGUGGAUUGUUAAGUCAGUUGUGAAAGUUUGCGGCUCAACCGUAAAAUUGCAGUUGAAACUGGCAGUCUUGAGUACAGGAGAGGUGGGCGGAAUGCGUGGUGUAGCGGUGAAAUGCUUAGAUAUCACGAAGAACUCCGAUUGCGAAGGCAGUUCACUGGACUGCAACUGACACUGAGGCUCGAAAGUGUGGGUAUCAAACAGGAUUAGAUACCCCGGUAGUC
Molecule: ribosomal RNA, 460 nt
Filed under: uncultured bacterium
Lineage: Bacteria
Description: partial 16S ribosomal RNA
Rfam family: Bacterial small subunit ribosomal RNA
Source: RNAcentral